RNA transcript from Procambarus clarkii (red swamp crayfish), 4053 nucleotides. It is a transcript of the gene named nucleolar and spindle-associated protein 1-like, with no coding region annotated. NCBI's taxonomy places the organism in Eukaryota, Metazoa, Arthropoda, Malacostraca, Decapoda, Cambaridae. The record is from RefSeq and is a predicted model, not a curated record.
GUUUAAAUGUGUUGACAUUGUUGGUGUGGCGGCGAAGGUGUUCCCGCCCAAUUUAUACCUUAUAUCUCGGAUUUCUGGUUAAUAGGCGCCAUCAUGGGGGGUGAAAUAUUCGCGCAACAGGACCUCCAGCAAUUGAAAUAUGUCGAAUUGCUGAAAAUCUUCAAAGGCCGGGGAUUAAAAGCUGGGAGGAAGUUGAAGACAGAGAAGCUGAUAGAAGCCAUACUUGAAUCGCAGAAGAGCAGCGCCCUCGCAGUUAAUGCCGAGGCUGUGGUGGCUGCUCUGACAGAUGCUGCUUCAAGACAGCCUUUGAAGGAUAAUGACAAUGAAAAAUCACGUAGGAAGGAAGUGGGAUCAGCAGAGGAACUCUUGACAGACAUCCAAUUUCCUGACUCAUUUUCUGAAGACAAGGAUGAACCACAGGAGGUUAUAGCAACUUCGCCAAAGAAAGGUCGCAGAAAGAGCAAAUUGAUUAAAAAUGUUGUUGAGAAUGAUGGGCAAAUAACCAGGCGUCGGCGCACAGCAACAUUUGAAAUUGAAAAAAAGACCGAGAGCACAGCAGAAGAAACGCCUGGACCUCUGCCUAAGCGACGCAAGACUUCCACAUAUGAAGUGUCUGUUGAAACCAGUAAAUCCAAUACAAUAUCUGAUGUGUCACCAGAUAUCAGAAGUGAGGAGGCUAGUAAGGAGAGUAGUGAGCAACUGAAUAUAUUGGUACAAAAAUCUAACAAGAGACAGACAAGAGGUUCCCUAUCUAAUCGCUCUCCAGCUGUAGUUAGUAAUUGUCAGAUGUCUGUAAAAGAAUCUGGCUCCCAAUUGAACUUGACCACAGACAUGGACACUAAACCCAAAACAUCAGACACACAGAAGGUACUCAAAACAUCAGAAACACAGAGCACACCUAAGCGUAGGAGUUCAGCUAAGACGGCUACACCAUCUUCAACACGACAUUCCCAAGUUGGAGGAAAUCGUUUGAUCAAUACUCCGAAAAGCAACACGAAGCUCAAACAAGAUUCAAAAAUUGUUAAACCAAUGUUUACAGUUGGGAGAAAUUGCCCCCCACUUAAUGGAAAAGAGGGUUCUUCAUGUGGUGGCUCCAACAUUCCUCGGUUUCUGUCUUAUGCACGCAAACUAAAAGUACCCAAUUUUGCCAAAAUUCAUGAACGGGCAUUCAGUCGUAUGGAAGCACUUGAUGAUUAUGUCGAAAAGAAACAGAAGCGAACAGACACCACAGAUAGUGCAACUAAGAAACCACAGGAUGCAUCUGAGAAAGUGUUCCAGCCAACUGUUAUUAGCACCAGGAACUUAAAUCUCAAUUUUACUUCCCCAAGGUCCUCGGCUAGGAAGAUUCCAACUUUUUCAAAGCAUACAAGGGCUCUCUCUGAGAAGCCCAAACCUAAUCCAUCUCCGAAGGUUUUGCAAAGAAUACAAAAAACUCCUAAAGUUCCUAAAAUUCUUGAGACAAGAAAGAAAGCUUUACCAUCCAGCAGCAAGUCUGUCGAGUCUCAAAAAACUGUCAGCAAAAUUAUAGGUGUACGUCAAAGAUCACCUAAAGUAGCAAGACAACCCCUCGUUAACAAAACUCCAAGAAAAUCUAUUAGAAAUGCUGCAGCAGUUACCAAGAGCUCCCAAAAGCCUGAUCUGGUAUCUGCUUUGAAGGUCAUGUCAGUCAAGCAAGAGUCACCAUUAAGACGUAGUGCUUUGCCGACACUUCUUAAGGAAAAUGUUACGCCUGGGAGUCCAUGCUCGGCUGUCGGCAAGAGGCAGGAGUAUGACCCGAAGGCCACUAUUAAUAAGCCUCUAAACUACGUACCAUACAAGGGAGCCUUAAAACCGAUUAUGGACCGAGCUACAUUGAAGAAUAUGGCCGAAAGGAAACCGAAACUUAAAUCCACGUUCUGACCUGAUCCUGAAUGACAAAUAUGACAACUUGAAUGUGACAACGGGCAAAUAUGACAACUUGAACGUAAAGGUACUUAAAAACCACUCUUGGUCUAAAAGGCUAGGUGAGAGUAAGGAGCCAAUUAUCCCACCUCUACAUUUACUGAUGAACAAGCACUAGGGUCCAAAGACUGGCUCACCAUUUACGACUUUUCUCAACCUUGACAUUUCCUAUCACUCUGACCUUUCUAUUGUUUAUCAGGCAAGAAAUACGUGAGGGUCAGAAGAAGAUCCUAAAAGGCGUUCGAUUCAACAAAAGAUUUGAGCUACAGAUGGCUAAGAGAGGCAUUACUUUAUAAGAAGAAAACAACUUGACAGAAUUGUUCCUUGUGUUGCUAAAGGCAUAAUGCUUAAUUAUUAACUAUUUUUCAGCUUCUCCUUAACACAUUUAAAUUAAGUAUUCAGAUAUAUUUUUUCUUCAGAGGAUUCAUUCUUGUUAAUGGAUCCUUUGAUCCCUUUAUUAUUUUGUUUGACUAUUUCACAGUUUUCUUUGCAGUGCAAAGAAAACAAAUUAAGAUAAGAUUUUGUCUAUAAGGAUCUAUUAAAUUAGACCUUAGAAGUAAUAUCAUCUUCAGUGAAGUCUAUCGUCAACUUUGUGUUUUUCUUCGUUGUUAACACUGUGCUCUCUUCAACCAGGAUGUCCUACAAAAGGGAAAUUUAUUCUGUAUCUAUAGAAUUAUGACAAAAAAUAUUUAUUAGGCUUUUAGAAUUUUCUCUUGUGUGUUAUCUCCAAGGUAAGAAAAUUACUUUUGAUUAUAUGGUCUUGAAAGCAGUUGUAGAAAUGCUGUUAUUUCCUUGAUUAAUCUUGUCUGGAAUAUGAUGAACUUGGCAUAAAUUUGUAUUCUAAAUAACUGCAACAUUUUGGGUACCAAACAAAAAAAAAUUAUUUAUUCACCGAAGACAGGUACUUUAUAAAACAUGUUUGACAAAUAUAGAACAUGCUUAUUUAAGGAGAAGUGACAAUAUUCUCUGAGAUUUUUGCGACUGGUCUCUCUCUCUCUCUCUCUCUUUUGCAAUCAUAUAUUAGAAAAUCUGUGGGAGGAAUAUAGAAAUGUACGAAGAGGGAGCCUAAGGUUCGGGCAGUAGGAGUAAAAAAAAGAUGCGAGCUAGGUAUGUGGUGUAUAAAGGUAAAGAUGGAUACAGCAGAAACAUGCCACCAUGCUGACUUGUUAAAAGAUCAAUGAAGAUCAAGGUCUUGACUGGCAAAAUAAGUGAUGAGAAGAGGGAAUAAAAAUAAGUUUAAAUAAAGUACUUGGCCCAGGUUUGGGAGAGGCAAUAGCUAACCAAAGUAAAGUGAUUUAAUGUAAAAAAAAUGUAUUACUUGUGGAAGAAGUUGGGUUAGAAGUUGUGUGUACAAAAUUUUUUUUUUUUGGAAGAAAUAGUGUUAGGAUGUAAAAGAAAAAACAUAGGCAUCAUAAGAUAAAAAGUUAAUUGGUGCAUUUUUUGCAGUUGUGUUAACAUAAUGAUUUACAAAAUAUGAUCUUAGGCAAAAGAAUAACAGUAUCUGCCUUGAAAAAAUCAUGUGCGUGGGUUUUUCAAACUUGCUCUUAAUUUCUUCAAUUAAAUCACGUUACUUGUAAUUAGAGCUUAUGAAAUGUAAAUAUUAGUCUAACAAAUUCAGUAAUUACACAUCAUUUGGCUCAUAUACGUUAUUUUGAUAUAGUAGCAUUUAUUUUGUGUGUACAUAAGAUUCUUAUGGUAAAAGUAAUUUUAUGGAAAUAGUGUUAGCUAAAGUUCAGUCUUUGAUGCUUGUGAUGUCUCCUCAAGACAUUCAGGAGUUAUGAUAAGGGAUGACUGCUUUUAUAAGAUUUACAUAGACAUUAAUUCUUUGUGUGUAUCCUAACAAAGCCUGCAAUUUUAUUUUUGUAGGAUAGGCAUAUUGACUUUUUCAAGUUAUGGCGUAGAUAUGGUGCAAGUUACAUCAUAAGUUACAACUUGAAAGUAUGAGUAUUUUUAUAUCUACUGAUCGUGUAAAAUUCCAUGUAACAAUGUUUAACCAGAAGUGAACAUUUUUUGUAUUUGUUUUCUGUGUGAAUAGCCAGAGUGGUGCACUCUAAAACAAAUUAUAUAUUAAAUGUAUAUACAGUACACAUGAAAAAUACAAUACCAAUUAAA